RNAcentral lists this transfer RNA (72 nucleotides) under Bacteriophage sp. Its description in RNAcentral is "tRNA-Ser". It matches the Rfam family "tRNA", at positions 14 to 71 of the family's 71-position model. Rfam says of the family: Transfer RNA (tRNA) molecules are approximately 80 nucleotides in length. Their secondary structure includes four short double-helical elements and three loops (D, anti-codon, and T loops). The record is from RNAcentral.
AGUGAAAAUAGGAGUUUGAGCACUUGACUUUUAAUCAAGUUGUCCGGGGUUCGAAUCCCCGAUGUCUCACUA